GCUUGCUGCAUGCUUUAUACAUGCAAGUCGAACGGAGGCCCUAGCUUGCUAGGUGUCCUUAGUGGCGCACGGGUGAGUAACACGUGGGAACAUACCUUAUAGUACGGAAUAACUGCGGGAAACUGUAGCUAAUACCGUAUACUCCAGUAAUGGGAAAGAUUUAUCGCUAUAAGAUUGGCCCGCGCAAGAUUAGCUUGUUGGUGAGGUAAAAGCUCACCAAGGCUUCGAUCUUUAGCUGGUUUGAGAGGACGAUCAGCCACACUGGGACUGAGACACGGCCCAGACUCCUACGGGAGGCAGCAGUAGGGAAUAUUGGACAAUGGGGGAAACCCUGAUCCAGCAAUGCAGCGUGAGUGACGAAGGCCUUAGGGUUGUAAAACUCUUUCAUCGGUGAGGAUAAUGACAGUAGCCGAAGAAGAAGGACCGGCUAAUUCCGUGCCAGCAGCCGCGGUAAUACGGAAGGUCCUAGCGUUGUUCGGAAUUACUGGGCGUAAAGCGCAUGUAGGCGGAACAGAAAGUUAGAAGUGAAAUCCCUGGGCUCAACCUAGGAAUUGCUUUUAAAACUUCUGUUCUGGAAUUCAGGAGAGGAAAAUGGAAUUUCCAGUGUAGAGGUGAAAUUCGUAGAUAUUGGAAGGAACACCAGUGGCGAAGGCGAUUUUCUGGACUGAUAUUGACGCUGAGAUGCGAAGGCAUGGGUAGCAAACGGGAUUAGAUACCCCGGUAGUCCAUGCAGUAAACGAUGGGUGCUAGUCGUCGGACUUUUGUUCGGUGUCGUAGCUAACGCGUUAAGCACCCCGCCUGGGGAGUACGGUCGCAAGAUUACAAUGAUUCG
Molecule: ribosomal RNA, 832 nt
Filed under: alpha proteobacterium SCGC AAA298-L21
Lineage: Bacteria; Pseudomonadati; Pseudomonadota; Alphaproteobacteria
Description: SSU rRNA
Rfam family: Bacterial small subunit ribosomal RNA
Source: RNAcentral